Molecule: unclassified non-coding RNA, 329 nt
Filed under: soil metagenome
Description: partial contains 5.8S ribosomal RNA, internal transcribed spacer 2, and large subunit ribosomal RNA
Rfam family: 5.8S ribosomal RNA (bases 1-120)
Source: RNAcentral
GAUGAAGAACGUGGUGAAAUGCGAUAAGUAGUGUGAAUUGCAGAAUUCAGUGAAUCAUCGAAUCUUUGAACGCACAUUGCGCCCCUUGGUAUCCCGAGGGGCAUGCCUGUUCGAGCGUCAUUUCACCACUCAAGCCUGGCUUGGUGUUGGGCGACGUCCUCUUUGGGGACGCGCCUCGAAACGCUCGGCGGCGUGGCACCGGCUUUAAGCGUAGCAGAAUCUUUCGCUUUGGAAGUCGGGGCCCCGUCUGCCGGAAGACCUGCUCGCAAGGUUGACCUCGGAUCAGGCAGGGAUACCCGCUGAACUUAAGCAUAUCAAUAAGCGGAGGA